RNAcentral lists this transfer RNA (73 nucleotides) under Rattus norvegicus (Norway rat). Its description in RNAcentral is "tRNA-Gln (CTG) (tRNA-Gln-CTG-8-1)". It matches the Rfam family "tRNA". Rfam says of the family: Transfer RNA (tRNA) molecules are approximately 80 nucleotides in length. Lineage: Eukaryota; Metazoa; Chordata; Mammalia; Rodentia; Muridae. The record is from Rfam by way of RNAcentral.
GCCCGGCUAGCUCAGUCAAUAGAUCAUGAGACUCUGAAUCUCAGGGUUGUGGGUUCGAGCCCCAUAUUGGGCA